RNAcentral lists this ribosomal RNA (468 nucleotides) under uncultured bacterium. RNAcentral's name for it is "partial 16S ribosomal RNA". It matches the Rfam family "Bacterial small subunit ribosomal RNA", at positions 28 to 507 of the family's 1533-position model. The record is from RNAcentral.
GACGAACGCUGGCGGCGUGCUUAACACAUGCAAGUCGAACGGAAAGGCCCUGCUUUUGUGGGGUGCUCGAGUGGCGAACGGGUGAGUAACACGUGAGUAACCUGCCCUUGACUUUGGGAUAACUUCAGGAAACUGGGGCUAAUACCGGAUAUGAGCUCCUGCUGCAUGUUGGGGGUUGGAAAGUUUCGGCGGUUGGGGAUGGACUCGCGGCUUAUCAGCUUGUUGGUGGGGUAGUGGCUUACCAAGGCUUUGACGGGUAGCCGGCCUGGGAGGGUGACCGGCCACAUUGGGACUGAGAUACGGCCCAGACUCCUACGGGAGGCAGCAGUGGGGAAUAUUGCACAAUGGGCGGAAGCCUGAUGCAGCAACGCCGCGUGCGGGAUGACGGCCUUCGGGUUGUAAACCGCUUUCGCCUGUGACGAAGCGUGAGUGACGGUAAUGGGUAAAGAAGCACCGGCUAACUACGUG